UACAGAGGGUGCAAGCGUUAAUCGGAAUUACUGGGCGUAAAGCGCGCGUAGGUGGUUAGUUAAGUUGGAUGUGAAAUCCCCGGGCUCAACCUGGGAACUGCAUUCAAAACUGACUGACUAGAGUAUGGUAGAGGGUGGUGGAAUUUCCUGUGUAGCGGUGAAAUGCGUAGAUAUAGGAAGGAACACCAGUGGCGAAGGCGACCACCUGGACUGAUACUGACACUGAGGUGCGAAAGCGUGGGGAGCAAACAGGGAUUAGAUACCCUGGCAGUCCACGCCGUAAACGAUGUCAACUAGCCGUUGGGAGCCUUGAGCUCUUAGUGGCGCAGCUAACGCAUUAAGUUGACCGCCUGGGGAGUACGGCCGCAAGGUUAAAACUCA
This 381-nucleotide ribosomal RNA is filed under the name uncultured bacterium. Its description in RNAcentral is "bacterial SSU rRNA". It matches the Rfam family "Bacterial small subunit ribosomal RNA", at positions 524 to 903 of the family's 1533-position model. The record is from RNAcentral.